UAAUACGAGGGGUGCAAGCGUUGUCCGGAUUCAUUGGGCGUAAAGGGUGCGUAGGCGUCCGAGAAAGUUAUUUGUUAAAGCCUUCGGCUUAACCGAAGAAAUGCAAGUAAAACUACUUGGAUAGAGUUUAAGAGAGGAAAAUGGAAUUCCUGGUGUAGCGGUGACAUGCGUAGAUAUCAGGAGGAACAUCAAUGGCGAAGGCAAUUUUCUGGCUUAAAACUGACGCUGAGGCACGAAAGCGUGGGGAGCAAACAGGAUUAGAUACCCUGGUAGUCCACGCCGUAAACGAUGAGUACUUGGUGCCGGAGGAUUCGACCCCCUCGGUGCCGUAGCUAACGCGUUAAGUACUCCGCCUGGGGACUACGACCGCAAGGUUG
This 377-nucleotide ribosomal RNA is filed under the name uncultured Deferribacteres bacterium. Its description in RNAcentral is "bacterial SSU rRNA". It matches the Rfam family "Bacterial small subunit ribosomal RNA", at positions 521 to 896 of the family's 1533-position model. The record is from RNAcentral. Lineage: Bacteria; Pseudomonadati; Deferribacterota; Deferribacteres.